RNAcentral lists this ribosomal RNA (794 nucleotides) under uncultured archaeon. RNAcentral's name for it is "bacterial SSU rRNA". It matches the Rfam family "Archaeal small subunit ribosomal RNA", at positions 85 to 879 of the family's 1478-position model. The record is from RNAcentral.
ACGGCUCAGUUUACACGUGGAUAACCUGCCCUCAGGUCUGGCAUAACCCCGGGAAACUGGGGAUAAUUCCGGAUAACGCAUAUAUGCUGGAAUGCUUUAUGCGUCAAAGGUCCUCCGCCUGAGGAUGGGUCUGCGGCCUAUCAGGUAGUAGCGGGUGUAAUGUACCUGCUAGCCGACGACGGGUACGGGUUGUGAGAGCAAGAGCCCGGAGAUGGAUUCUGAGACAUGAAUCCAGGCCCUACGGGGCGCAGCAGGCGCGAAAACUUUACAAUGCGGGAAACCGUGAUAAGGGGACACCGAGUGCCAGCAACAUUUGCUGGCUGUCCAGGUGUGUAAACUACACCUGUUAGCAAGGGCCGGGCAAGACCGGUGCCAGCCGCCGCGGUAACACCGGCGGCCCGAGUGGUGAUCGUUAUUAUUGGGUCUAAAGGGUCCGUAGCCGGUUUAGUCAGUCCUCCGGGAAAUCUGUCAGCUCAACUGAUAGGCUAUCGGGGGAUACUGCUAGACUUGGAACCGGGAGAGGUAAGAGGUACUACAGGGGUAGGAGUGAAAUCUUGUAAUCCCUGUGGGACCACCUGUGGCGAAGGCGUCUUACCAGAACGGGUUCGACGGUGAGGGGCGAAAGCUGGGGGCACGAACCGGAUUAGAUACCCGGGUAGUCCCAGCCGUAAACGAUGCUCGCUAGGUGCCAUGCAUGGUGCGACCGUGUAUGGUGCCGUAGGGAAGCCGUGAAGCGAGCCACCUGGGAAGUACGGCCGCAAGGCUGAAACUUAAAGGAAUUGGCGGGGGAGCAC